GGUACAAUAUGAUCCAAAUACUAUGUUUAAUCAACAAUACAACACAAUAAAUAAUGCACGAGCCACACCAUUGCAGUCUUCGUCAUCGUUGUAUUCAACCAAUUCAACGAGACCAACUAAUGCUGGUUUUAUUCCAAAUGUCGCUUCUGCAUUCCAAGCACAAGUAGUGGCUGGUGCGUCCGGUAAUACAUUUGGCAUACCAAAUGCAUUUGGUUCUCCACAAAACGCCCCACCUCCAAAUAUGCAAAACUAUACUUAUCAGUCUCGUCAAGUUCAUUACCCGAAAGAAAAUAUAAGUAGUGGUGGUAAUGACGAUUUUCAAAAGUCUGGUGUAUCUAAUCAACGGGACAUUGGAAAUG
Long non-coding RNA from Adelges cooleyi (spruce gall adelgid), 359 nucleotides. RefSeq lists it as uncharacterized. The transcript has 3 exons. NCBI's taxonomy places the organism in Eukaryota, Metazoa, Arthropoda, Insecta, Hemiptera, Adelgidae. The record is from RefSeq and is a predicted model, not a curated record.